RNAcentral lists this ribosomal RNA (440 nucleotides) under uncultured bacterium. Its description in RNAcentral is "bacterial SSU rRNA". It matches the Rfam family "Bacterial small subunit ribosomal RNA", at positions 28 to 451 of the family's 1533-position model. The record is from RNAcentral.
GAUGAACGCUGGCGGCGUGCUUAACACAUGCAAGUCGAACGGGAAUUAUUUUAUUGAAACUUCGGUCGAUUUAAUUUAAUUCUAGUGGCGGACGGGUGAGUAACGCGUGGGUAACCUGCCUUAUACAGGGGGAUAACAGUCAGAAAUGACUGCUAAUACCGCAUAAGCGCACAGAGCUGCAUGGCUCAGUGUGAAAAACUCCGGUGGUAUAAGAUGGACCCGCGUUGGAUUAGCUUGUUGGUGAGGUAACGGCCCACCAAGGCGACGAUCCAUAGCCGGCCUGAGAGGGUGAACGGCCACAUUGGGACUGAGACACGGCCCAGACUCCUACGGGAGGCAGCAGUGGGGAAUAUUGCACAAUGGGGGAAACCCUGAUGCAGCGACGCCGCGUGAAGGAAGAAGUAUCUCGGUAUGUAAACUUCUAUCAGCAGGGAAGAUAG